CGGACGGCUGAGUAACGCGUAGGUGACCUGCCCCGAAGUGGGGAAUAACUGCCCGAAAGGGUGGCUAAUACCGCAUGUGGUCACACGUUCAAUCGUGUGAGUAAAGCCGCAAGGCGCUUCGGGAGGGGCCUGCGUCCGAUUAGCUCGUUGGUGGGGUAACGGCUCACCAAGGCGACGAUCGGUAGGUGGUCUGAGAGGACGAUCACCCAGACUGGGACUGAGACACGGCCCAG
Molecule: ribosomal RNA, 233 nt
Filed under: uncultured bacterium
Lineage: Bacteria
Description: partial 16S ribosomal RNA
Rfam family: Bacterial small subunit ribosomal RNA
Source: RNAcentral